This 484-nucleotide ribosomal RNA is filed under the name uncultured bacterium. Its description in RNAcentral is "partial 16S ribosomal RNA". It matches the Rfam family "Bacterial small subunit ribosomal RNA", at positions 28 to 507 of the family's 1533-position model. The record is from RNAcentral.
AUUGAACGCUGGCGGCAUGCUUUACACAUGCAAGUCGAACGGCAGGGCGCUCUUCGGGUUGGUUGCGAGAGGCGGGCGGGUGAGUGUUACAUCGGAAUGUGCCCAGCUGGAGGGGAUAGCACGGCGAAAGACGGGGGAAUACUACCGACGACCCGAGGGUGAAACAGGGGGAUGGUUGGACAGCGCCGUAGUGGAGGGGCCGAUGGGAGAUUACUUAGUUUGUGGGGUCAGGGGCUACCUAGGCUGGGAUCGGUAGCUGGCCUGAGAGGAUGACCGGCCACCCUGUGACUGAGACGCCGCCCAGACUCCUACGGGAGGCAGCAGUGGGGAAUUUUGGGCAAUGGGCGAAAGCCUUAUCCAGCAAGCCCGCGUGUGUGAUGAAGGCCUUCGGUUUGUAAUGCACUUUUGCCGGGACGGAACCGGUCUGUGCCAAUACGACGGUUUGGUGACGGUACCCGCUAAAUAAGCACCGGCUAACUACGUG